Molecule: long non-coding RNA, 682 nt
Filed under: Homo sapiens (human)
Lineage: Eukaryota; Metazoa; Chordata; Mammalia; Primates; Hominidae
Description: non-protein coding lnc-SI-3:1
Source: RNAcentral
UUCAGAGACUCUGUUAGUCUGCUCAGGCUGGGAUAUGGUUUGGAUGUUUGUCCCCUCCAAAUCUCAUGUUGAAAUAUAAUUUCCAAAAUUGGAGGUAGGUCUUGGUGGGAGGUGAUUGGCUCAUGGGACAGAUCCCUCAUUAGUGGUUUAGCACCAUCUCCUUGGUGAAAGUGAGUUUCCCCUCAGUUCACAUGAGGUCUUGUUGUUUAAAAGAGUCUGGGACCUACCGCUUCUCUGUCUUUCUCGCCACGUGAUAUGUUGGCUUCCCUUUGCCUUCUGCCAUGUUUGUAAGCUUCCUGAGCUUACGUGUGAUAUGUUGGCUUCCCUUUGCCUUCUGCCAUGUUUGUAAGCUUCCUGAGCCCCUUGCCAGGGGCAAUUGCCAGCACUAUGCUUCUGUACUGCCUGCAGAACCAUGAGCCGAUUCAACUUCUUUUCUUUAUAAUUUACCCACUCUCAGGUGUUGCUUUAUGGUAAUGCAAAUUGACUAGCAUAGGCUGCCAUAACAGAAUACCACAAAUUGAGUGUCUUAAAGCACAUAAAAUUAAUUUUCUCACAGUUCUGGAGCUUAGAAAUCCAAUAUCCAUCAGGGUUGGUUUCAGGUAAGUUUUCCCUCUUUGUCUUGUAGGCAGACACCUUCUGGCUGUGUACUCAUAUGGCCUUUUCUCUUUACGGAAACAGCUUG